This 491-nucleotide ribosomal RNA is filed under the name uncultured bacterium. RNAcentral describes it as "partial 16S ribosomal RNA". It matches the Rfam family "Bacterial small subunit ribosomal RNA", at positions 29 to 506 of the family's 1533-position model. The record is from RNAcentral.
AGUGAACGCUGGCGGUAGGCCUAACACAUGCAAGUCGAACGGCAGCACAGUAAGAGCUUGCUCUUACGGGUGGCGAGUGGCGGACGGGUGAGGAAUACAUCGGAAUCUACUUUUUCGUGGGGGAUAACGUAGGGAAACUUACGCUAAUACCGCAUACGACCUACGGGUGAAAGCAGGGGAUCUUCGGACCUUGCGCGAUUGAAUGAGCCGAUGUCGGACUAGCUAGUUGGCGGGGUAAAGGCCCACCAAGGCGACGAUCCGUAGCUGGUCUGAGAGGAUGAUCAGCCACGCUGGAACUGAGACGCGGUCCAGGCUCCUACGGGAGGCAGCAGUGGGGAAUAUUGGACAAUGGGCGGAAGCCUGAUCCAGCCAUACCGCGUGGGUGAAGAAGGCCUUCGGGUUGUAAAGCCCUUUUGUUGGGAAAGAAAAGCAGCAGGUUAAUACCCCGCUGUCCUGACGGUACCCAAAGAAUAAGCACCGGCGAACUUCGU